Molecule: long non-coding RNA, 760 nt
Organism: Mytilus californianus (California mussel)
Lineage: Eukaryota; Metazoa; Mollusca; Bivalvia; Mytilida; Mytilidae
Exons: 3
Source: RefSeq, a predicted model, not a curated record
CCAUCAUCAGAAUCAUUUGAUAUAUCUCUAAUGAUACUUCUACUGCACCAUCUUGCUGGAUUAAGUAUAUCAGAAAGAUUACCUUUGAAGACAGACACAAGUGUAGAAGCUGAUCUUAGUAGAAUUAAAUAUUACAGAAAUACGUAUUUCCAUUCUGCAUUAAUUGAGAUCGGUCCAGAUGAAUACGCUGCUGCAUGGAGUGACUUAUGCGAGGCCAUUAAAAGACUAGGAGGGGAAAUCUACAACACAAUUGUGCAAAAUGGGAAUUUGCAUCGCUUGAUAUCUUUCACAAGAAUUCAAUAUUAGAAAUACGGAAUGCUGAAGCUGAAAUUCUAUAUUUGCGAGAGGAUGUUAAAAGACUUCAACAUGCGCAAUCAGAACUAUAUCGAUUAAAUCCUAAAUUACGGGGCAGGCAAAACGUAUUACCAGAGAAAAAACGGAUAACAACUGAAAAAUAUAACGAACCAUUUCUCGAACCAAAGGUUAUUUCAGAUGGACUACAAGUUUUAGAAGAAAAGGGUUUAGUAAUAUUGACUGGGGGAGUAGGCACAGGUAAAAGUACAAAUGCGUUAGAAAUAAUACGAUAUUACUGUCAGCGACAUGCCGAUUACGAUAUUCAGAGAUUGCCUUAUACAUUUGAAGAAUGCAAAAUCAAUAUUUGGGAAAAUGAAAUGUCAUUUGUAAACCCUCGUAUGCCAUUUGACAUAAUAAAAGGAGCAACAAAAGUUGUCCUGUUGUUUGAUGUUUUAUUAUGUACUGA